Amblyraja radiata (thorny skate) is the source of this 189-nucleotide long non-coding RNA. RefSeq lists it as uncharacterized. The record is from RefSeq and is a predicted model, not a curated record. NCBI's taxonomy places the organism in Eukaryota, Metazoa, Chordata, Chondrichthyes, Rajiformes, Rajidae. The transcript is spliced from 3 exons.
AGUACCACCCCUCUGAUUCCAUACUUUUCCAGUUUUUUGAUUAGCAAAUGAUGAUCAAUUGUAUCGAAUGCUUUUUUCAAAUCUAUAAAUACACCCACUGCAUAUUUCUUAUUAUCUAUAGAACUGGUGAUGUCUUCAAUUAACUCCAUUAAUGCCAUGGAUGUCGAUCUGUUUAACCAUGAUCAUAUU